Pezoporus occidentalis (night parrot) is the source of this 3192-nucleotide long non-coding RNA. RefSeq lists it as uncharacterized. The transcript is spliced from 6 exons. NCBI's taxonomy places the organism in Eukaryota, Metazoa, Chordata, Aves, Psittaciformes, Psittacidae. The record is from RefSeq and is a predicted model, not a curated record.
UUCUGCUGUAAUAAGUGUUUUCAAACUAUUUGCACUAAUGAAUCAUGAACUGUAUAUGUUCCCAUAUGUGACUGGCUAAACCUCUUCACCUUCUCUGUUUGACUGCAAAACUUUUUAGGGGUACAGUAGACACUGUCUAUGUAAAAUGGUAAGAAUAGAUUUACUAUGGUUUUGUGCUCUGUCUCCUAGUGUAGUCUAGUGGCUGGAGGAACUAGGACCAAGCGACCAGAUACCCAUUCCGUGCUGGCAGCGGGGAUCUGCCAACAGCAAGGGACUGUCUAACCUCAUGCAGUGAAGUUCAGUAGCAGACAUUGAAGAGUUGAGCGAACACCAUGAAUGCCAUCCCAUGCCAGGCCUGCUGCAAUUGGUGGUUCACUACAUUCAAAAGCUCCACCUACCAAAUCUUUCCACAAGCAAUUCAAAACAAAGACCAGAAGAAUGCAAAAAGAUUCUAACUGAUCUGCGUUCCAGAUUGCUGGAGUAUUAGUAUGCUGAUUCCUGUCAGUGAACUGUAAUGUACAGCAUUCUGAAAGAGCAUGAGCAAGCUCUGUGUGGACAAAGGAGCCAAACAAUCAGGGACAGAAGUGAGGGAAAAAUCUAUUGAGACCUGGAGUGACCCUGUAUGCAUUAGUGUUACUGCGGAUAUACAAUUUGGGUCAGAGGGAAACAAAUGUAAUAUUCAAGUGUAACACAUCAAGCCUCCAGUAGUAUAGCAUAAGACAAAGAUAAUGAUAAGAAAAAUCAAAUGUGUUGGUGAGGUAGAAGACAAUGGUAUACUGAAUUGAAAGAGGGAGGGGAAAGAAAUUAACUUAGUGUCAAGCAAUAUUAAGCAGUAACAAAACAACGGGAGAAUUUGCAAUAGCCGUGUCACUGAUGUGAGAGAAAAUGGACCUACAGCAUGUCCAUAGGGUAGGUAUAGGUUGAACCACAGCGAGCUGUUGGAAGGGAAGAAUGGGAAGUUGGCACAAUUACAUCUGUUUUCUCAUGCACAGGACUCUGGGGAGCUCCAGUCGACACAAGUGCACCCCCUUCAAUUUCAGUGGUCAGCAUGCAGGAAGCCAGAGAGCACAAAUAGGCUAGUUGCAGUGUGUUUCUUCCAGUAAAUCAUCUGUGGUGCAGGCAGAGAAAUACUGGGCUUGUCAUUAGUGUAGUCCUUGUCCCAGCCUUCUGCCCAGCUUCAUGCUGACAGUAACAGAAAUCUUUCCUAUUUGCACAGCCUGACUGCUGCCUUCUUCAGUUCGCUGGCUUUGCAGAGGUUUUUCUUAAAGGUAUGAAGAAUAUGUUUCUAUGGGCAGGAUCAGGUAUUGGGGGAUGGCUGGUUGUUCUGCAGAAAAUGUUAAUGUGUUUUCUGUUGUUCAUACUACUUGGAUUCCCCAACUGGUACAAGUGCCUUUGAUGUCAGUUGACCUACAUAAGCAGAGACCAAUUGAGGGAAUUCAUAAUAUGUUUGAAUAUGAUGUUUAUACCUUCAAGACUCUGAAUAUGGGUGUUCUUUUUCUUCCUAUUGUCAGUCUUUUUUCUUUUGAAAUCAUUUCAACAGUCCCUGAAGCUUGUGUAAGUUCAGAGAGGCUGCUGUCUGUUUUAAACUGAGGUGAAUGUGUGAUUCUGAGAUUGAAUAAUUGAUGAUGAAGUUGGAUAUUAAAGACAACAUUUCUGAAGCUGUUGAAAGUGCCGGAAAAUCUUUGUGCUCCAAUUAACGUGGCUGUAAUGAUAAUAGUCCACUUGAUAUCAAAGCUUUUGCAAACUCUUCAUAUGAAGAUCUGGUUAGCAGAAAUUAGUGGUGGCAUAGGAGCUACUUCAGAUCUUAAGAAGUAUUGAGUUACUAAAAGGAGAACAGUUUUCUAAGGAUAUGGGAACAGUAGUGUCAUUGGAGCAGGCUGCAGUAGAGGACUGAAAGGUAAAUGGACCUUCAGUUAUGCUCUAAACUCAUUAAUGUGUGACUCAGCAGAUUUUUGUACAAGAAUGCAACAUGUGUUGGCAAUACAUUACACAUGUGAAUGCACUGUUUUCAGCUGAGGGUGUUGUGGUUAUGCUUCUCUGCUUUUGCGUUAAGAAUGUUUGACAAGAGAUCGUAAAAAAUCUCUCCCCAAGGGAUUGUGCAUCCAUUAGUAGGCAAAUUGGCUGCCUGGCUUCUGCUCAGCUGCUUAUCCUAUUUAAAGCUCCUAAGGAUUACUGCAGGAUGGAAGGGCUUUUACUUCUAGGACCGUAAGGGGGUUUGAUCUGUGAAUCACCUUUCCAAGUUGAAGUUACAAGUGAUUUUUUUUUUUUCUAAGAACUUGAAAAGCAGGGGGAAAUUAUCUGUUUAACUGUCAGACACUGCUUGAAGUGUGAUACCUAAGACUUAAUUUUAAAGCCAGGCUCAUUAAUAACAGAGAAAUAACCCCAGUGGUCUUGCCAAAACUAAAGUAAUACUGGCGCUGAUGUUCUCUGACCAAAUGCUGUUGCACAAUGUGCCUUUUCCAAUGGCUGUCCCCUUCAUGUUACUUCUGUGUAUACAGGAAAGGGCAAUUAACAUGUUGUUUUCACCUUCUGCAGUGACUAGUUCACCAGUUCAUCUGUUGCCUCCAUGUUUGAAGUCUAGUGUAGGAUUUCUUAAUAUUUCUCUCUUUUUGUAUCUCUGAUCUUGUUUCAUCCUAGCAAUUAUUUUGUCCCUUGGACCAUCUUCUUAUGUCUCUCUCUUGCUUGCUUGCUUUUGCCACCACUGGUUUUUAUGUACCUGGCCAAGCCUGAAACUUUCUUACCCUCUUUUUCUGGCAGAAGAUGUCUCUGUGCCUAAAAAAAACCUUGUAAGAGAGGCAAAUCUCUUUGCAGAAUCAAAACCGCUCUGUGACAACGUACUUUUGAAAGGACUACCUAAAGGUAUUCACCUGCAGGGGAUUGAAAAAGCCACACUGAAAUUACAGGGAUAACAGCAUGUACUGGGAAUGGGGAAUGCUGGCUUUUUAUCAGCAGUGAAUUGGCUGUGCUGCUGUGCUGGAGCAGUAUUCUGAAGUGAGCCAACUGCAGAUCAUCUUUCACAAAUACUUUUUGCUUUCUAACUAUAUCAUGCUCUGUUACCGUCUGACACCUGUGCUUCAGUCACUUAUUUUUCAGCAGUCAGUCUGGCAGAAGUUUUUAUUUCCCUUCUUCCUUUCUGUGUGUGCUGUGGCCUGUCUGGAUUAUUUGAGCAUAGUACAGUGAGCCGCAGAGCUU